AGAGUUUGAUCAUGGCUCAGGAUGAACGCUAGCGGUGUGUUUUAGGUAUGCAAGUUGAGCGACGGCCCUUCGGGGUACGGAGCGGCAGACGGGUGAGUAACGCGUAGGAAUUUACCCCAAAGAGGAGCAUAGCCAGCCGAAAGGUUGGGUAAUUCUCCAUAGUUCCCGCAUUUUGCGGGAUAAAGGAUGUAACUAUUCGCUUUGGGAGAAGCCUGCGUCUUAUCAGCUUGUUGGUAGGGUAAUGGCCUACCAAGGCUACGACGGGUAGCUGAUGUGAGAGCACGACCAGCCACAGGGUUACUGGGACACGGAGCCCACGUCUACGGACGGCAGCAACCGAGAAUCUUGCGCAAUGGGCGAAAGCCUGACGCAGCGACACCGCGUGAAGGAUGAAGGCCUUAGGGUUGUAAACUUCUUUUCUAGAGGAAUAUGAUGAAGGUACUUUAGGAAUAAGCACCUGCAAACUACGUGCCAGCAGCCGCGGUAAUACGUAGGGUGCAAGCGUUAUCCGGAUUUAUUGGGCGUA
RNAcentral lists this ribosomal RNA (526 nucleotides) under uncultured bacterium. RNAcentral's name for it is "bacterial SSU rRNA". It matches the Rfam family "Bacterial small subunit ribosomal RNA", at positions 8 to 562 of the family's 1533-position model. The record is from RNAcentral.